This 850-nucleotide ribosomal RNA is filed under the name Microbacterium esteraromaticum. RNAcentral describes it as "bacterial SSU rRNA". It matches the Rfam family "Bacterial small subunit ribosomal RNA", at positions 56 to 916 of the family's 1533-position model. The record is from RNAcentral. Lineage: Bacteria; Bacillati; Actinomycetota; Actinomycetes; Micrococcales; Microbacteriaceae.
UGCAAGUCGAACGAUGAAGCCCAGCUUGCUGGGUGGAUUAGUGGCGAACGGGUGAGUAACACGUGAGCAACCUGCCCCUGACUCUGGGAUAAGCGCUGGAAACGGCGUCUAAUACUGGAUAUGUCCCGUCACCGCAUGGUGUGCGGGUGGAAAGAUUUUUCGGUUGGGGAUGGGCUCGCGGCCUAUCAGCUUGUUGGUGAGGUAAUGGCUCACCAAGGCGUCGACGGGUAGCCGGCCUGAGAGGGUGACCGGCCACACUGGGACUGAGACACGGCCCAGACUCCUACGGGAGGCAGCAGUGGGGAAUAUUGCACAAUGGGCGGAAGCCUGAUGCAGCAACGCCGCGUGAGGGAUGACGGCCUUCGGGUUGUAAACCUCUUUUAGCAGGGAAGAAGCGAGAGUGACGGUACCUGCAGAAAAAGCACCGGCUAACUACGUGCCAGCAGCCGCGGUAAUACGUAGGGUGCAAGCGUUAUCCGGAAUUAUUGGGCGUAAAGAGCUCGUAGGCGGUCUGUCGCGUCUGCUGUGAAAUCCCGAGGCUCAACCUCGGGCUUGCAGUGGGUACGGGCAGACUAGAGUGCGGUAGGGGAGAUUGGAAUUCCUGGUGUAGCGGUGGAAUGCGCAGAUAUCAGGAGGAACACCGAUGGCGAAGGCAGAUCUCUGGGCCGUAACUGACGCUGAGGAGCGAAAGGGUGGGGAGCAAACAGGCUUAGAUACCCUGGUAGUCCACCCCGUAAACGUUGGGAACUAGUUGUGGGGUCCUUUCCACGGAUUCCGUGACGCAGCUAACGCAUUAAGUUCCCCGCCUGGGGAGUACGGCCGCAAGGCUAAAACUCAAAGGAAUUGACGG